CUUGCUACCUACCUAGCGGCGGACGGGUGAGUAAUGCUUAGGAAUCUGCCUAUUAGUGGGGGACAACAUUCCGAAAGGAAUGCUAAUACCGCAUACGUCCUACGGGAGAAAGCAGGGGACCUUCGGGCCUUGCGCUAAUAGAUGAGCCUAAGUCGGAUUAGCUAGUUGGUGGGGUAAAGGCCUACCAAGGCGACGAUCUGUAGCGGGUCUGAGAGGAUGAUCCGCCACACUGGGACUGAGACACGGCCCAGACUCCUACGGGAGGCAGCAGUGGGGAAUAUUGGACAAUGGGGGGAACCCUGAUCCAGCCAUGCCGCGUGUGUGAAGAAGGCCUUUUGGUUGUAAAGCACUUUAAGCGAGGAGGAGGCUCCCAGUAUUAAUACUACUGGAGAGUGGACGUUACUCGCAGAAUAAGCACCGGCUAACUCUGUGCCAGCAGCCGCGGUAAU
This 449-nucleotide ribosomal RNA is filed under the name uncultured bacterium. Its description in RNAcentral is "bacterial SSU rRNA". It matches the Rfam family "Bacterial small subunit ribosomal RNA", at positions 80 to 524 of the family's 1533-position model. The record is from RNAcentral.